GGAACCAUAGCUCAGUCGGUUAGAGCAGGUGACUCAUAAUCUCCGGGUCGGCGGUUCAAGUCCGUCUGGUUCCACCA
RNAcentral lists this transfer RNA (77 nucleotides) under Lentisphaerota bacterium. RNAcentral describes it as "Lentisphaerae bacterium tRNA-Met". It matches the Rfam family "tRNA". Rfam says of the family: Transfer RNA (tRNA) molecules are approximately 80 nucleotides in length. Lineage: Bacteria; Pseudomonadati; Lentisphaerota. The record is from RNAcentral. RNAcentral also lists the same sequence under 1 other name.